Molecule: long non-coding RNA, 920 nt
Organism: Eriocheir sinensis (Chinese mitten crab)
Lineage: Eukaryota; Metazoa; Arthropoda; Malacostraca; Decapoda; Varunidae
Exons: 4
Source: RefSeq, a predicted model, not a curated record
AGGGUCAUAAAACUACCCCUGGAAAUGCCCACAAUUCCUACGAAAGCCUUGUCAAAUAUGUGUUUCUAGGUUCACGGUACAGAAGAAGGCUCACACUACCACCAGGGUCAUAAAACUACCCCUGGAAAUGCCCACAACUCCUACGAAAGCCUUGUCAAAUAGGUGUUUCUAGGUUCACGGUACAGAGGAAGGGUCACACUACCACCAGGGUCAUAAAACUACCCCUGGAAAUGCCCACAACUCCUACGAAAGCCUUGUCAAAUAGGUGUUUCUAGGUUCACGGUACAGAGGAAGGGUCAGACUACCACCAGGGUCAUAAAACUACCCAUGGAAAUGCCCACAACUCCUACGAAAGCCUUGUCAAAUAGGUGUUUCUAGGUUCACGGUACAGAGGAAGGGUCAGACUACCACCAGGGUCAUAAAACUACCCCUGGAAAUGCCCACAACUCCUACGAAAGCCUUGUCAAAUAUGUGUUUCUAGGUUCACUGUACAGAAGAAGGGUCACACUACCACCAGGGUCAUAAAACUACCCCUGGAAAUGCCCACAACUCCUACGAAAGCCUUGUCAAAUAGGUGUUUCUAGGUUCACUGUACAGAGGAAGGGUCACACUACCACCAGGGUCAUAAAACUACCCCUGGAAAUGCCCACAACUCCUACGAAAGCCUUGUCAAAUAGGUGUUUCUAGGUUCACGGUACAGAGGAAGGGUCACACUACCACCAGGGUCAUAAAACUACCCCUGGAAAUGCCCACAACUCCUACGAAAGCCUUGUCAAAUAGGUGUUUCUAGGUUCAUGGUACAGAGGAAGGAUCACACUACCACCAGGGUCAUACAACUACCCCUGGAAAUGCCCACAACUCCUACGAAAGCCUUGUCAAAUAGGUGUUUCUAGGUUCACGGUACAGAAGAAGGGUUAGAC